This 74-nucleotide transfer RNA is filed under the name Microbacterium phage Pumpernickel. Its description in RNAcentral is "tRNA-Gly". It matches the Rfam family "tRNA". From Rfam's summary of the family: Transfer RNA (tRNA) molecules are approximately 80 nucleotides in length. Their secondary structure includes four short double-helical elements and three loops (D, anti-codon, and T loops). Lineage: Duplodnaviria; Heunggongvirae; Uroviricota; Caudoviricetes. The record is from RNAcentral.
GGGAUAUUCGUACAGAGGCCUAGUACCUCAGUCUUCCAAACUGAUAACGCGGGUUCGAAUCCCGCAUAUCCCUC